AGUCGAACGCGGUUAGUAGCAAUACUAACUGAGUGGCGAACGGGUGAGUAACACGUGGGUGACCAUACCUUCGAGUGGGGGAUAACGUCCCGAAAGGGACGCUAAUACCGCAUAACAUCCUGCCUUUGAAGAGGUGGAGAUCAAAGCCGGGGAUCGCAAGACCUGGCGCUUGAUGAGGGGCCCGCGUCCGAUUAGCUAGUUGGCGGGGUAAUGGCCCACCAAGGCGACGAUCGGUAGCCGGCCUGAGAGGGCGGACGGCCACACUGGGACAGAGACACGGCCCAGACUCCUACGGGAGGCAGCAGUGGGGAAUUGUUCGCAAUGGGCGCAAGCCUGACGACGCAACGCCGCGUGGAGGAUGAAGGUCUUCGGAUUGUAAACUCCUGUUGCCCGGGACGAAUGGCUCCAACCUAACACGUUGGAGUGUGACGGUACCGGGUGAGGAAGCCCCGGCUAACUCUGUGCCAGCAGCCGCGGUAAUACAGAGGGGGCAAGCGUUGUUCGGAAUUACUGGGCGUAAAGGGCGCGUAGGCGGCCUUCUAAGUCGAACGUGAAAUCCCCGGGCUCAACCCGGGAACUGCGUCCGAUACUGGAAGGCUUGAAUCCGGGAGAGGGAUGUGGAAUUCCAGGUGUAGCGGUGAAAUGCGUAGAUAUCUGGAGGAACACCGGUUGGCGAAGGCGACAUCCUGGACCGGUAUUGACGCUUAGGCGCGAAAGCCAGGGGAGCAAACGGGAUUAGAUACCCCGGUAGUCCUGGCCCUAAACGAUGAAUGCUUGGUGUGGCGGGUAUCGAUCCCUGCCGUGCCGAA
Molecule: ribosomal RNA, 809 nt
Filed under: uncultured Bacillota bacterium
Lineage: Bacteria; Bacillati; Bacillota
Description: bacterial SSU rRNA
Rfam family: Bacterial small subunit ribosomal RNA
Source: RNAcentral